This is a long non-coding RNA of Haliotis rufescens (red abalone), 2215 nucleotides long. RefSeq lists it as uncharacterized. The transcript has 2 exons. The record is from RefSeq and is a predicted model, not a curated record. NCBI's taxonomy places the organism in Eukaryota, Metazoa, Mollusca, Gastropoda, Lepetellida, Haliotidae.
UACAUGUAACUGCAAUACUGUUCAAAGUGGCAUUAAACCCAACUCACUCACUCACUCACUCACUCACUCACUCACUCACUCACUCACUCACUCAGCAUCAGUGAAGAUCAUAGUACUCUGUAUUUUUUGUGUGGAUUACUGGUUUACCAAGGGUAAUUUAAAAUGAAAAUACAAAUACAAUUUGUUUUGAAAACAUUUGAGGAGUUUCCCUCUCUUUUUCUUUCUCUGGUACAUUAAUCCCAUCCUCCUUUAUCCAGAGUAUUAUAUCGCCAUUCUAUUAUGAUAGAUACUCUGGUUCCAUUGGACACCUUAGAUUUGUCUGAUUUGAAUGAUACAACGCUGGAAAUAACCCAUUGAAUCAAGUGGUAUUUUUCUUUGAUGAUUAAAGGGGGCAUUGGUGGCCCAGUCGACUAAGGUGCUGCAAUUUUGUUGUACAAAGUUUUGUUCCAAAGAAAUCUUUAAUAAUGGGUUCAAAUCCGGUUCGUCCUGAUACUGUUUGUAGAUCUGUAAACACCAUACCCAUGCUCAUGGGUUACACCAAAGUGGUAUACAUCCAAGGCCUGCAUCAUUUCUGGCUUGCCACCCAUAUGGGAAUGACAAGUUAUGAUAUAACUGGAUUACUGUUCAAAGCUGCGUUAAACCCAACUUACUCACUCACUCGAUCAUUAAGGGCUUCUUUGAUGAGGGUUCUAGCAUGCCCAAGGGAUCCAACACUCUACAGCGAAUUGUGGCGCCUUAGGCGACUGGGUCACCUGCGCCCCAUGUCAAGGUUGAUGCUCUUAUACCAAGAUACUUAGAAGAAUUCUGCAGGUUAGAGUGUUCACCUGUACGCUGAAGACCUGGGUUAGAUAUAUUACAUGGGAACAACAUAAAAAGCCCAUUUCUGGUGUCCCCAUCUGUGGUAUUGCUGCAGGAUUAUUAAAAACAGAGUAAUGGCCUCACUAGCAUUGCCAGUAGAGGAAACUUUUUCCAUGAGGUCAAUUACAAUGCAAUGCAAUAAGAGGCGACUAACGGGAUCGGAUGGUCAGGCUUGCUGACUUGGUUUAUGCAUGUCAUCAUAUCCCCAUUGCAUAGAUCGAUGCUCAUGAUGUCAGUCACUGGAUUGUCUGGUCCAGAUUUGAUUAUUUGGAGACUGCCUUCAUAUAGCUGGAAUAUUGCUGCGUGUGGCGUUAAACAACAAACAAACAAACAAAACAAAAAUAAUAUUUCAAUCCAUUAUUCCAUCAGUGCCAUCAAUUGAGGGAGAUAGUUGAGAAGACAGAUCCAUUGCUUCCCAUGGUUUUGGUUACUUUUCAAGUUUCUUGGUUAUGUCAAUGUUGGUUUGUAGCAUUCUCAAGUAUUUUGGUUUCAGUACCAGACUGAGUCUUGUCAAACACCAAGAUUCUUUUCUUUGAUUGCUUCAGUUUACUUAUUCUCACUGUAUUGAUUUCUUUGUAAGUUUAAGAUCUCAUGAUUUGUUUGUACAUUCAAGAUCUCAUGAUUUGUUUGUAAGGUCAAGGUCUCGUUUUGUUUGUAAGGCCAAGGACUCAUGGUGUGUAAGGCCAAGGCCUCGUUUUGUUUGUAAGGCCAAAGACUCAUGGUUUGUAAGGUCAAGGUCACAUUUUUGUGCCCAGAUGUAAAUGGUAGCCAAACAACACAACUAAGUUUGAAAAAUUACUUGUGUUGACCGUUCAAAUGAAAACACAGGUUAGGUGUGAUGAUUGGUCCAUUGUAAGGUGUUGGAUCCAGUAUCUAAAUGUGCUUGUCGGAGCUUGUGUCAUAUGCCUGUCGUUUCAUUCAUAAGAGGUAAGACCACAGACCACAUGGGCUUUAGUCCUUGUUUUGGUUCAUUGUUGCCAUGACAGCAACUGUGUGAAUGUUGUAAUAAUAAGUGAAUCAUACCCGCUGUAUGAGAGAGUUGAUUGUGAAGAUAAUGUGCAUCUUUCGUUUUCCUUCACAUCAACAUUUGAUGCCUUGAUUUUGCUACAUGGCACAAAAUAUAUCAUGUGUACUUUUGUGCAUUUGUGCUAGUAUGCCAUUUCUGAUACUGAUGUUUGGAAUGAUGAAGAAUCUGCCUAUGACUAACAAAGCAUUUGUCAAAUGUCAGAGGAGUGUAGGUUUACUGUAACACUUGUUCACAUGUGAAAAAAACAAAAAUGCUCAAACAUUUUCUGAUUUGUGAAUGUGGCUGUGAAUGUGUUUAUUUUGUCAGUUUUUAAUAAACAUUUACAAUGUU